Sinocyclocheilus rhinocerous is the source of this 487-nucleotide non-coding RNA. The record is from the annotation of a RefSeq genome assembly. NCBI's taxonomy places the organism in Eukaryota, Metazoa, Chordata, Actinopteri, Cypriniformes, Cyprinidae.
CAACACAAUCUUCAUCAUCACACAAGACACAACAACAACAAUGAACAACAUCAUCAUCCUCAUCUGGACCAUUGCAGCUUUUAUUCAAGAAUCCAGAGGAGUCACUCUGACUCAACCUGAAGUUAAAACUGUGCAACAGGGUCAAACAGCUACAAUAGAGUGUAGUCUGGAUGUAGGACUAACCUCUAAUGAUUUGGCCUGGUAUCAGCAGAAACCUGGAGAAGCUCCUAAACUCCUCAUAUAUCAAGCAACAAACAGUUACACUGGAACUCCAUCUAGAUUCAGUGGCAGUGGAACAGCAAAUACUGGAAAAGAUUUCACUCUGACCAUCAGUGGAGUCCAGACUGAAGAUACAGGAGAUUAUUACUGUCAGAGUUACCACUACAUCAACAGUAACGAUGUGUUCACACAGUGAUAAAGAGUCGUACAAAAACCUCCGUCAGUCAGAGUCACAGUGACUGCACUGAUACAGCGGAGAGACACUGCA